This 24-nucleotide non-coding RNA is filed under the name Drosophila melanogaster (fruit fly). RNAcentral also lists the same sequence under 4 other names. The record is from RNAcentral. Lineage: Eukaryota; Metazoa; Arthropoda; Insecta; Diptera; Drosophilidae.
CUAAAGAUUUCCGUGGAGAGGAAC